Molecule: ribosomal RNA, 266 nt
Filed under: uncultured bacterium
Lineage: Bacteria
Description: partial 16S ribosomal RNA
Rfam family: Bacterial small subunit ribosomal RNA
Source: RNAcentral
UACGUAGGAGGCAAGCGUUGUCCGGAAUUACUGGGCGUAAAGCGCGUGUAGGUGGUGGGACAAGUCUGCUGUGAAAGCGCCUGGCUUAACCGGGCGAGGUCGGCGGAAACUGUUUCACUGGAGGACGGGUAGAGGGGGGUGGAAUUCCCAGUGUAGAGGUGAAAUGCGUAGAGAUCGGGAGGAACACCAGUGGCGAAGGCGGCACCCUGGACCAGCACUGACACUGAGGCACGAAAGCGUGGGGAGCAAACAGGGAUUAAGAAACC